GACGAACGCUGGCGGCGUGCUUAACACAUGCAAGUCGAACGGACAGGCCCUGCUUUUGUGGGGUGCUCGAGUGGCGAACGGGUGAGUAACACGUGUGUAACCUGCCCUUGACUUUGGGAUAACUUCUGGAAACUGGGGCUCAUACCGGAUAGGAGCUCCUGCAGCAUGGUGGGGGUUGGAAAGAUUCGGCGGUUGGGGAUGGACUCGCGGCUUAUCAGCUUGUUGGUGGGGUAGUGGAUUACCAAGGCUGUGACGGGUAGCCGGCCUGAGAGGGUGACCGGCCACAUUGGGACUGAGAUACGGCCCAGACUCCUACGGGAGGCAGCAGUGGGGAAUAUUGCACAAUGGGCGGAAGCCUGAUGCAGCAACGCCGCGUGCGGGAUGACGGCCUUCGGGUUGUAAACCGCUUUCGCCUGUGACGAAGCGUGAGUGACGGUAAUGGGUAAAGAAGCACCGGCUAACUACGUG
RNAcentral lists this ribosomal RNA (468 nucleotides) under uncultured bacterium. RNAcentral describes it as "partial 16S ribosomal RNA". It matches the Rfam family "Bacterial small subunit ribosomal RNA", at positions 28 to 507 of the family's 1533-position model. The record is from RNAcentral.